GAUUCUGUAGCUCAAUGGUAGAGCGCUGGUCUGUUAAACCAGAAGUUGAAAGUUCGAGUCUUUCCGGAAUCGCAA
This 75-nucleotide transfer RNA is filed under the name Chryseobacterium sp. CBo1. RNAcentral describes it as "tRNA-Asn". It matches the Rfam family "tRNA". Rfam says of the family: Transfer RNA (tRNA) molecules are approximately 80 nucleotides in length. The record is from RNAcentral. Lineage: Bacteria; Pseudomonadati; Bacteroidota; Flavobacteriia; Flavobacteriales; Weeksellaceae.